RNAcentral lists this ribosomal RNA (465 nucleotides) under Vreelandella stevensii. RNAcentral's name for it is "partial 16S ribosomal RNA". It matches the Rfam family "Bacterial small subunit ribosomal RNA", at positions 338 to 795 of the family's 1533-position model. The record is from RNAcentral. Lineage: Bacteria; Pseudomonadati; Pseudomonadota; Gammaproteobacteria; Oceanospirillales; Halomonadaceae.
CCUACGGGCGGCAGCAGUGGGGAAUAUUGGACAAUGGGCGAAAGCCUGAUCCAGCCAUGCCGCGUGUGUGAAGAAGGCCUUCGGGUUGUAAAGCACUUUCAGUGGGGAAGAAAGCCUUGGGGCUAAUACCCUCGAGGAAGGACAUCACCCACAGAAGAAGCACCGGCUAACUCCGUGCCAGCAGCCGCGGUAAUACGGAGGGUGCGAGCGUUAAUCGGAAUUACUGGGCGUAAAGCGCGCGUAGGCGGUCUGAUAAGCCGGUUGUGAAAGCCCCGGGCUCAACCUGGGAACGGCAUCCGGAACUGUCAGGCUAGAGUGCAGGAGAGGAAGGUAGAAUUCCCGGUGUAGCGGUGAAAUGCGUAGAGAGCGGGAGGAAUACCAGUGGCGAAGGCGGCCUUCUGGACUGACACUGACGCUGAGGUGCGAAAGCGUGGGUAGCAAACAGGAUUAGAUACCCCGGUAGUC